Pseudopipra pipra is the source of this 1852-nucleotide long non-coding RNA. RefSeq lists it as uncharacterized. NCBI's taxonomy places the organism in Eukaryota, Metazoa, Chordata, Aves, Passeriformes, Pipridae. The record is from RefSeq and is a predicted model, not a curated record. The transcript has 4 exons.
AGGGCUACAAUGGCACCAUCUUUGCCUACGGCCAGCGGGAAGUCAUUCACCACACAGGGGUCGUGGAUCCUUCCUCACAGAAGGGGAUCAUUCCAGAGGGAUUGAACACAUCCUCGAGAGCAUCCAGUGUGCUGGAAGUGCCGAGUUCCCCAGGAGAGCCUCCUACCUGGAGAUCUGCAGUGAGACCUUCUGGGAGCUGACACCAAGCAGAAGCUGGAGCUGAGCACCAGAACACGAGAGUCAAGUGAGGAAUAUGGAAGCCAAGAGGAGAUUUUGGGGGACUUUGGUGGAAGUUCAGAAGCAGGAUCCAUUCGUGCCCAGUGUAUCCCACAUGACAGUGGGAUGGGACAGUGGCCAGGAGCUCAGCAGCAGCUCUGUGAAAAUCCUUUACUGGGCAAAGGUGGAAUAAAGUGCUCAUGGGGCAAUUUCCUCCUCAUCCUCUUCAUCUCACAGUCGUCUCUAAAGCAGGAGGAUUCAGAGCAUUAUCCAUGUUUAAUCUGAUCCAGUGGAGCCGUGGAUGAUCUCAUUAUCUGCCUAAACCAAAAGAGCUCAUCCUUUCUGAGGGGACACAGCAGAUAUUACUCCCCAUGGGAACGUGUGGGGAAGUUUCCAGGACCACAGGAGGGUAAACUCUCCCAAAAUCCUAAUCAAGGGGUUGAUCUUUAUUAAGUUUACCUCUUGGUGGCUUUGCAGAUCCUUUUGCACGUAUUGCUGGAGGGAGCUGCACAUCUGCUGUCCUGAUUUACUUGUCUGGUGAAUAAAACCAGGGCAGGAGCACCAUGAGAUGCACUGGGAUGGCAACAGACCCAAACUGACUUAUGGGGCAGGUAUUUUUGAGAGGUUUCUGGCUCCGAGGGAGGCAAACCCCUCUCUGCCUCACGUUCCAGGCGUGCCUCGCCUGUCGUGUGCGGAGGGAGGGUGGGAGAAGGGGACUUCUGGCUGCAGUUUCCCAUCCUUUGUUCCACAUCGGCGGUGACACGGGUUUCCAUGGCAACGCAGUUGGCACUGGGAGGGCAGGAGCUGGGCAGAGCAGUUUCCAGGGUAACACUGUCACACUGCCUGUUGCUGCCUCCACCGAGGAACUGAGGGAGUCGUGUCCUGCUUCUGUGUUCCCCAAUUCUCCCCCAAAAUCCCGUUUUUGUUCAUUCCUUCGCCUCUCACUCCCAGUGACUGUCCUGUCCUUGGCUGGGUGUUCCUCGGGGACACCCCCAAACACAGCCAGGCCAGUCCUGGGUUCUCCUGCAGCACAGACCAGUCACAGUGUAUGAACAGUCGGUCUGUGGCUGUACCUGGAUCCAUCCUGGGCAGCCACACCUUUGGAAUGAGGCUAAAUCCCACCCAGUUUAGUUUUCAGCCACUUCUGCUCUGUUGUGUGCAGACUUUUUAACAACCCUAUUUUAUAGAAUCACAGAAUCACUGAGGCUGGAAAAGACCCUCAGGAUCAUCGAGUCCAACCUUCGGCCCAUCCCCGCCCUGUCCCCAGCCCAGAGCCCUGAGUGCCACGGCCAGUCCUUCCCUGGGCACCUCCAGGGAUGGGGACUCCACCACUGCCCCUGGCAGCCUCUUCCAGAGUUUAAUCCCCCUUUCCAUGAAGAAAUUCCUCCUGAUGUCCACCCUGAACCUCCCCUGCAGCAGCUUGAGACUACGUCCUCUGGUGCUGGAUGAGAGAAACAAGGCUUUUUGGUGGCAGCCAGAUGGAAGUGCCCAAGGCCAGGUUGGAUGGGGUUUGGAGCAACCUGGGAUAGUGGAAGGUGUCCCUGCCAAGUGCAAGUCAGAUAAUUUCACCCAAUGAUCCCUUCAUUGAGCUCUGUGUAUCUUUUUUACAGAUGGAAUAAAAGAACCUUUUAAUGAC